This 315-nucleotide ribosomal RNA is filed under the name uncultured bacterium. RNAcentral describes it as "bacterial SSU rRNA". It matches the Rfam family "Bacterial small subunit ribosomal RNA", at positions 28 to 334 of the family's 1533-position model. The record is from RNAcentral.
GAUGAACGCUAGCUACAGGCUUAACACAUGCAAGUCGAGGGGCAGCAUGGUCUUAGCUUGCUAAGGCCGAUGGCGACCGGCGCACGGGUGAGUAACACGUAUCCAACCUGCCGUCUACUCUUGGACAGCCUUCUGAAAGGAAGAUUAAUACAAGAUGGCAUCAUGAGUCCGCAUGUUCACAUGAUUAAAGGUGUUCCGGUAGACGAUGGGGAUGCGUUCCAUUAGAUAGUAGGCGGGGUAACGGCCCACCAAGUCGUCGAUGGAUAGGGGUUCUGAGAGGAAGGUCCGCCACAUUGGAACUGAGACACGGUCCAA